Molecule: ribosomal RNA, 292 nt
Filed under: Prymnesium parvum
Lineage: Eukaryota; Haptophyta; Prymnesiales; Prymnesiaceae
Description: partial Bacterial small subunit ribosomal RNA
Rfam family: Bacterial small subunit ribosomal RNA
Source: RNAcentral
GCAGCAGUGGGGAAUUUUGGACAAUGGGCGCAAGCCUGAUCCAGCAAUGCCGCGUGAGUGAAGAAGGCCUUCGGGUUGUAAAGCUCUUUUGUCAGGGAAGAAACGGUGGAGGCUAAUAUCCUUUGCUAAUGACGGUACCUGAAGAAUAAGCACCGGCUAACUACGUGCCAGCAGCCGCGGUAAUACGUAGGGUGCAAGCGUUAAUCGGAAUUACUGGGCGUAAAGCGUGCGCAGGCGGUUAUGCAAGACAGAUGUGAAAUCCCCGGGCUCAACCUGGGAACUGCAUUUGUGA